RNAcentral lists this long non-coding RNA (1799 nucleotides) under Homo sapiens (human). Its description in RNAcentral is "HSALNT0001778". Lineage: Eukaryota; Metazoa; Chordata; Mammalia; Primates; Hominidae. The record is from RNAcentral.
ACAGGAGAAGGCAGUGACCUCCUGUGGGGCAAUUUCUCUGGCUUCCUCAUGUGGAAGGCUCAGCUUUGUGAAAACAAGAAAUAGAUUUGCAAACUGGACAAGUGUGACUUCAGUCCUGAUAUGGUUUGGCUGUGUCCCCACCCAAAGCUCACCUUGAAUUGUAAUAAUCCCCAUGUGUCAAGACCGGGGCCAGGUAGAGAUACUCGAAUCAUGGGGAUGGUUCCCCAUACUGUUCUGGUGAUGGUGAAUAAGUCUCAUGAGAUCUGAUGGCUUUAUAAAUGGGAGUUCCUCUGCAAGGGCUCUAUCUCUUGCCUGCCUCCAUGUAAGACGUGAUUUUGCCCCUCAUUCACCUUCCACCAUAAUGGUGAGGCCUUCCCAGCCAUGUGGAACUUUGAGUCCAUUAAACCUCUUUCCUUUAUAAAUUACCCCGUCUUGUAUGUCUUUAUCAGCAGCAUGAGAACAGACUGAUACAAGCCCUCUCCAGCAGGAGACCAGAGGCAAGAGGAAUUUGCUUCCUGUGGUUGACAGCCUCAAGAAUGUCAGACACUAUAUAAACCUGCAGGGUGCCCUACUUCCAAGUCCCUACAGACAUGGGCCUUUUAAAAGUUGCACAGUGGUGAGAAUGUCCAGUUGGAAAGCCUCGUUAGCACAGUGCAGCCCGUCCAUGGCUGAAGUCCUGGGCUUAUCCUGGACCUGCCCUCAUCCUGGACCUGCCCUCCCACGUCCUCCCUCCUGGCUAGCGGCAGCUCCAGCCUUCCAGUCAGGCCCACACCUCACAGUCCCGGGCUUGUCUCUGCAUCCUCUAUCCAGCCCAUCACAGGUCCUGCUGCUUUGCCUUCAGAGAGUGUCCAAGAGUUGACCACUUGUCACCACCCCCACCACUGCCCCCAUCCAAGCCACCAACAUGGUCCUUUUAGAAUGCAAGCCAGGUGCAGUGGCUUAUGCCUGUAAUCCCAGCACUUUGGGAAGCCAAGGUGGGCAGAUCACUUGAGGCUAGGAGUCCAAGAGCAGCCUGGCCAACAUGGUGAACCCCAUCUCUACUAAAAAUACAAAAAUUAGCUGGGCAUGUUGGUAGGCACCUGUUAUCCCAGCUAUUUGGAAGGCUGAGGCAGGAGAAUCGCUUGAACCCAGCUGCAGUGAGCCAAGAUUGCACCAUUGCACGCCAGCCUGGGCAACAAGAGCGAAACUCUGUCUCAAAACAAAACAAAACAAAACAAAACGCCAGGCGCAGUGGCUCACGCCUGUAAUCCCAGCACUUUGGGAGGCCGAGGCAGGUGGAUCACAAGGUCAGGAGAUCAAGACCAUCCUGACCAACAUGGAGAAACCCCAUCUCUACUAAAAAUACAAAAUUAGCUGGGCGUGGUGGCGCAUGCCUGUAAUCCCAGCUACUCAGGAAGCUGAGGCAGGAGAAUUGUUUGAACCUGGGAGGCAGAGGUUGUGGUGAGCUGAGAUCGCGUCACUGCACUCCAGCCUGGGCGACAGAGGGAGACUCCGUCUCAAAAAAAAAAAGAAUAUAAGGCAGACCUUGCCCGGCUCUGACCAACACCCUCCAGGGGCUCCCAUCUCAUUCAGCCAGAACUGGAGUCCUCAGAAUGACUUGCUAAGCCUGCACAUCUGACCCCAGCCACCUUCUGACCUCAUUGUCUUCUUCUCUCCCUCCCCCACCCUCUCUGCUCAGCCACUCUCUGCCUCAGGGAGUUCGGGACAGGAGUGUGCAUGGUACUGGGCGGCCCAUGGGGGCUCCUGGCCUCUUGGUUCAGGAGCAUCCCUAGAACGACCUCCCAGGCACGAGGAAGGCC